Molecule: RNA transcript, 553 nt
Organism: Grammomys surdaster
Lineage: Eukaryota; Metazoa; Chordata; Mammalia; Rodentia; Muridae
Gene: Ndufb2
Gene name: NADH:ubiquinone oxidoreductase subunit B2
Exons: 4
Source: RefSeq, a predicted model, not a curated record
GGACUCGGGGAAGUGACGCAUCAGGGGUGGGAACUGCUGUCUUGCUAGUAUGUCUGCGCUGACCCGCCUGGUACCAUUCAGUCGCGUCGGAAGCCGUCUGCUCCUGGGCUGCCGCGCGCGGGCGGCUGGAGACGGUGGAGUCCGUCAGUGAGUGUCGGGUGGGGUUGAGGGCUCGGCCGGCUUGAACAGGCAGCGCUGUCAUCUGGACGGCGUCACCUUGAAGCAGUCGCCCGGGCCGUGCUGGCGGGGGUACUCCACCCCGGUACAGGGAGUUUCCCCAGCCUACCCAGUCCCAGGUGAUCCAGGCGGAGUUCUUAAGCUCAUUCAUGUGGUUCUGGAUUCUUUGGCGAUUUUGGCAUGACUCGGAUGCUGUGCUGGGUCACUUUUCAUAUCCAGAUCCUUCGAAGUGGACAGAUGAAGAACUGGGGAUCCCUCCUGAUGAUGAGGACUGAAAGUGUAAACUCUUCUCUGUACAAGUAGGAGCAAGGUGAGACAUUUCAAGAAAUGACAGACCUCAUUAAAGGUGUAAAUUAAAGUGGCUUUCCAAAACCGA